AGAAUCAACGCUGGCGGCGUGCCUAACACAUGCAAGUCGCACGAGAAAGUGGAGCAAUCCACGAGUAAAGUGGCGCACGGGUGAGUAACACGUGAAUAAUCUACCUCCGAGUGGGGAAUAACUGAGAGAAAUCUUAGCUAAUACCGCAUAAUACCCACGGGUCAAAGCAGCAAUGCGCUUGGAGAGGAGUUCGCGGCCGAUUAGCUAGUUGGCGGGGUAAUGGCCCACCAAGGCGAUGAUCGGUAUCCGGCCUGAGAGGGCGCACGGACACACUGGAACUGAAACACGGUCCAGACUCCUACGGGAGGCAGCAGUGGGGAAUUUUGCGCAAUGGGGGAAACCCUGACGCAGCAACGCCGCGUGGAGGAUGAAAUCCCUUGGGAUGUAAACUCCUUUCGAUAGGGAAGAUAAUGACGGUACCUAUAGAAGAAGCCCCGGCUAACUUCGUGCCAGCAGCCGC
This 460-nucleotide ribosomal RNA is filed under the name uncultured bacterium. Its description in RNAcentral is "SSU rRNA". It matches the Rfam family "Bacterial small subunit ribosomal RNA", at positions 26 to 518 of the family's 1533-position model. The record is from RNAcentral.